GACGAACGCUGGCGGCGUGCCUAAUACAUGCAAGUAGAACGCUGAAGAGAAGAGCUUGCUCUUCUUGGAUGAGUUGCGAACGGGUGAGUAACGCGUAGGUAACCUGCCUGGUAGCGGGGGAUAACUAUUGGAAACGAUAGCUAAUACCGCAUAAAAUUGAUUAUUGCAUGAUAAUUAAUUGAAAGAUGCAAUUGCAUCACUACCAGAUGGACCUGCGUUGUAUUAGCUAGUUGGUGAGGUAACGGCUCACCAAGGCGACGAUACAUAGCCGACCUGAGAGGGUGAUCGGCCACACUGGGACUGAGACACGGCCCAGACUCCUACGGGAGGCAGCAGUAGGGAAUCUUCGGCAAUGGGGGGAACCCUGACCGAGCAACGCCGCGUGAGUGAAGAAGGUUUUCGGAUCGUAAAGCUCUGUUGUAAGAGAAGAAACGGGUGUGAGAGUGGAAAAGUUCAACACUGUGAA
This 466-nucleotide ribosomal RNA is filed under the name Streptococcus sanguinis. RNAcentral describes it as "bacterial SSU rRNA". It matches the Rfam family "Bacterial small subunit ribosomal RNA", at positions 28 to 473 of the family's 1533-position model. The record is from RNAcentral. Lineage: Bacteria; Bacillati; Bacillota; Bacilli; Lactobacillales; Streptococcaceae.